RNAcentral lists this ribosomal RNA (379 nucleotides) under uncultured Alphaproteobacteria bacterium. RNAcentral describes it as "bacterial SSU rRNA". It matches the Rfam family "Bacterial small subunit ribosomal RNA", at positions 9 to 398 of the family's 1533-position model. Lineage: Bacteria; Pseudomonadati; Pseudomonadota; Alphaproteobacteria. The record is from RNAcentral.
GAGUUUGAUCGUGGCUCAGGACGAACGCUGGCGGUGUGCUUCACACAUGCAAGUCGAACGGGGUAGCAAUACCCAGUGGCGGACGGGUGAGUAACACGUGGGAAUCUACCAUAAGGUGGGGAAUAACAGGCCGAAAGGUCUGCUAAUGCCGCAUAUGUAGGCAUCUCGACAGAGGUGUUUAUGAAAGGAGUAAUCCGCCUUUUGAUGAGCCCGCGUCCGAUUAGCUAGUUGGUAGGGUAAAAGCCUACCAAGGCGACGAUCGGUAGGUGGUCUGAGAGGAUGAUCACCCACAAUGGGACUGAGACACGGCCCAUACUCCUACGGGAGGCAGCAGUGGGGAAUUUUACGCAAUGGGGGGAAACCUCGACGUAGCGACACC